Molecule: small nuclear RNA, 91 nt
Filed under: Panthera leo (lion)
Lineage: Eukaryota; Metazoa; Chordata; Mammalia; Carnivora; Felidae
Description: U5 spliceosomal RNA (ENSPLOG00000019499.1)
Rfam family: U5 spliceosomal RNA
About the family: U5 RNA is a component of both types of known spliceosome. The precise function of this molecule is unknown, though it is known that the 5' loop is required for splice site selection and p220 binding, and that both the 3' stem-loop and the Sm site are important for Sm protein binding and cap methylation.
Source: RNAcentral
AUGCUCUGGUUUCUCUUCAAAUCGCAUAAAUCUUUCGCCUUUUACUAAAGAUUUCCGUGGAGAGAAACAACUAUGAGUCUUCAGGGAAAUA